UUUUAUAAAAUAACAAAAGUAGCCUUGUUUUUUUCAAUGUCUUUUGCAAACAACCUGCGUCCGCACAUUCCUUCACCCUCCCUCGCCACCUCUACAACUUCCCCAUCUGCCUCCAUCACUCCUCCACUCCUCUCCACCUAUCUCGAUCAUCUCUACUUACCUCCGUCACUCCCCUACCAAUAUCCGCAAUUUCCCUACCUACCUUUGCUACCCUCAAAUCAUUCCUACUCAACCCAACACCGUAGUUGACCUAAAACCUAACCACUAGAACUACCCAAAACCCAAAAUUUACAAAGUGCACAAUUUGGAAUGGGUUUUGACAGAGGACUUCAUCACCAAUUGCCUGAUAUCUCUACAUCCUUGACUCUAGUGCCUAAAUUCAUACUUUAUGCGAUCUCCAUUGAUGAGCUUCUUUGACACUUGCUCGAUUAGGGUUUGCUUCUUUCUCAAUUUUGUUAUGGAACAUUGUCCAAUCUAGUGUUUAAAGGUACAUUGCUAAGACAUUGUACGGUGAUGAUGAUGAAGAGGUUACUCCUCAGAAUAGCGACACAGGGGAGGAGCCAAAAUGUUUAGGCCUUUACCCUGGAUCAAAUGAGAAGAUUCUCUUGAAGAAUGGUCCUUAUGGGUUCUAUGUUCAGCUUGGUGAGGACAGGAAGGGAUACUUGCCUAAAAGAGCCUCGGUUUCCCAAAUAAAAAAAAAUAUAGACUCUAUUACCCUGCAAGAUGCUAUUGAGUUGCUGCACUAGCCUGCAACAUUGGGAAACCAUCCUGAUGAUGGCCAGCCAGUUGUAUUGAAGCUUGAAAAGUUUGGAUUUUCCAUUAGACAUCGACACACAAUCGUGCCUGUACCUGAGAACUUGAAGCCGAAUGAUAUAACCUUUGAGAAAGCAUUAGAGCUUUUGUUGGGUAAAGAUGUAAAAUGAUGUGGCUGAGCCAAGAGCAAACCAAAGCUUGAAGGGGUUGUUGAGGAGAUAUAGGCAUGACAUAUUCUACGAGGCCGGGUACAAGAAAUUUAAAGUCUCUGCAAUUGGUAUGCAUAUAUAAAGACAUCCCAUUUGUGGCAUCUCCUCCAGUUCUUCCAUUGGUGAGGUUUGAACAGAGCCCAUACAGGUUGGAUCUAUCCCACACAGACAUAUCUAAUGGCAGGAAAUGUAGUGUAAUGGAAGUUAGUAGUAGCCAAUUUUGUUGUAAUUCACGAAUAAGCUUUUAAGUAAUAUUUAAUGUAGUGUUACUUGGAUUCCCUUUGAUUUGGCAAAAAAAUUCUUUACAAAGAUAUUUAAUAAAAAAAUGUUCUUUGUA
Molecule: non-coding RNA, 1299 nt
Organism: Camellia sinensis
Lineage: Eukaryota; Viridiplantae; Streptophyta; Magnoliopsida; Ericales; Theaceae
Source: RefSeq, a predicted model, not a curated record